RNAcentral lists this long non-coding RNA (264 nucleotides) under Gossypium barbadense (sea-island cotton). RNAcentral describes it as "long non-coding RNA (GBAR_LNC014902)". Lineage: Eukaryota; Viridiplantae; Streptophyta; Magnoliopsida; Malvales; Malvaceae. The record is from RNAcentral.
CGGGUGGGCUUCGAAUGGCCCAAGAGAGAACAAAAAUUUAAAUGGGCCCCCAAUCGGGCUCGGACAAAAACGGGUGUCUACAACUGCCCCUCUUUGUUCGUGGCUUGCGUAGCAAGGAACGUACAAAGACGUAGACACCUAACCACUAUCAAAUCCCACUCAACAUCGCAGUAAAAAGAAUAACAAGUUUUUGCAAUUACCUAAAUUGAAACAUAUCAAAACAUAUUACGUUAUCCAAAGCUACAAAUGUAGAUACCAAACCUA